RNAcentral lists this long non-coding RNA (854 nucleotides) under Olea europaea (common olive). Its description in RNAcentral is "long non-coding RNA (OEUR_LNC010094)". Lineage: Eukaryota; Viridiplantae; Streptophyta; Magnoliopsida; Lamiales; Oleaceae. The record is from RNAcentral.
UACAACACUAUGGCAAAAGCCUAACUCAUAUCAGAACAAAAAGGAUACUUCGAAUAUAUCUUUUUCACAUUCUUGGUCUCAUAAAUAUGCUAUUUCUACACACUCAUACAACACUAUGGCAACAAAAUUUAAUUUCCUUUGUUAAAACAUUACCAAAAUGUUAUUUUUUCGAUAUUAAGGAAUAUGGAAUGAUACUAAUUCGACGGUAGAUAUUUGAAUUAACAAAAGGAUAUUUCAUCCUUUUGAAUGGAAUUCCCAAUUCAUGACAUCUUACUAAAGACCCAUUGAAUAUUAUCGAUAACAUAAAACACGGAAAACCAUAAACUAAACCUGGCAAUAAAAUCGGAACCAAAAAUUAUAUUUUUCCAGAUGGAUCCAUACAAGAAAAAGAUGAAAUUAUUGAUUUCAUUCUUCACCCAUUCAAGCAAUAUGCAUAUUAAUAUGAAUUCCCGUGAAAUACAUAAUUAUACGCUACGAAUCAAAACAUUAUUCAACGACUACUGCCAAUUUGAUUAUAUAGUCCGAACAGCAAGACAAUGGUAAAUUGGGAAAAUAAGGGAAAAAGGAAAUAAAUAAAUUAAAAUACUUACAUUUUCAAUGAAGAGGAGAUCGACCACGACUACUGUUCCGACGAUUCCAGCAAGAAUGGCAGCUGGGCCCGUCAAAAGACUCCAUUUUCUGUAUAUCAUAGUUCUUGCUCGCUCUCUCCUUUCUCCCGAUGCAUAGCAGUGUGGAAAUGAGCGUAUUAAUAAUCUGGAUCGUAGGCCUUGGUUAGUUGCGUGGGCUUUUGGAUUUUGAAAAAGGUAUUUUUCGUAUAUUUAUUGUUUCAAAAAUAGAUAUUGAUUAGAUUUUAU